This 450-nucleotide ribosomal RNA is filed under the name uncultured Pacispora. Its description in RNAcentral is "SSU rRNA". It matches the Rfam family "Eukaryotic small subunit ribosomal RNA", at positions 569 to 1022 of the family's 1831-position model. Lineage: Eukaryota; Fungi; Glomeromycota; Glomeromycetes; Diversisporales; Pacisporaceae. The record is from RNAcentral.
AGCAGCCGCGGUAAUUCCAGCUCCAAUAGCGUAUAUUAAAGUUGUUGCAGUUAAAAAGCUCGUAGUUGAAUUUCGGAAUUCUUUUAUCGGUUGAAUCAACAGGUUCGUACUGAUUUUAAGAAUUUCUACCUUCUGGAGAACCUUAAUGUCAUUAAUUUGGUGUUUUGGGAAACCAGGACUGUUACCUUGAAAAAUUAGAGUGUUUAAAGCAGGCUUAUGUCUGAAUAUAUUAGCAUGGAAUAAUGAAAUAGGACGGCAUGGUUCUAUUUUGUUGGUUUCUAGGAUCACCGUAAUGAUUAAUAGGGAUAGUUGGGGGCAUUAGUAUUCAAUUGUCAGAGGUGAAAUUCUUGGAUUUAUUGAAGACUAACUUCUGCGAAAGCAUUUGCCAAGGAUGUUUUCAUUAAUCAAGAACGAAAGUUAGGGGAUCGAAGACGAUCAGAUACCGUCGUA